GAUGAACGCUGGCGGCGUGCUUAACACAUGCAAGUCGAACGGAAAGGCCCAAGCUUGCUUGGGUACUCGAGUGGCGAACGGGUGAGUAACACGUGGGCGAUCUGCCCUGCACUUCGGGAUAAGCCUGGGAAACUGGGUCUACUACCGUACAGGACGAUGCCUUGGAUGCCAUUCUGGAAAGUUUUUUCGGUGUGGGAUGAGCUUGCGGCCUAUCAGCCUGUUGGUGGGGUAAUGGCCUACCAAGGCGUCGACGGGGAGCCGGCCUGAGUGGGUGGACGGCCGGACUAGAACCGUGAGACGGGCCAGAGUGGGACGUGAGGCAGCAGUGGGGAAUAUUGGACAAAGGGAGACAGCCUGAUGGAGGGAGGCCGCGGGGGGGAUGAGGGCUUUCGGGUUGUAAGCACAUCUGGCGGGGGACGAAGCGUUUUUGUGACGGUACCUAAAGAAGAAGCACCGGCUAACUACGUG
This 468-nucleotide ribosomal RNA is filed under the name uncultured bacterium. Its description in RNAcentral is "partial 16S ribosomal RNA". It matches the Rfam family "Bacterial small subunit ribosomal RNA", at positions 28 to 507 of the family's 1533-position model. The record is from RNAcentral.